RNAcentral lists this ribosomal RNA (388 nucleotides) under uncultured eukaryote. RNAcentral's name for it is "partial 18S ribosomal RNA". It matches the Rfam family "Eukaryotic small subunit ribosomal RNA", at positions 592 to 976 of the family's 1831-position model. The record is from RNAcentral.
CAAUAGCGUAUAUUAAAGUUGUUGCAGUUAAAAAGCUCGUAGUUGGAUUUCUGAUCGAGACAUCAGGUCGGGUCCGAGAGGAUCAUGUACUUUGAUUUUGUUUUGAUCAUCCUUGGGGAGAGCAUUUCCGGCAUUCAGUUGUCGGGAUUGGGAUCCUCAUCGUUUACUGUGAAAAAAUUAGAGUGUUCAAAGCAGGCCUCGGCCUCUGAAUACAUUAGCAUGGAAUAAUAAGAUAGGACUUUGGUGGUCUAUUUUGUUGGUUUGCACGCCAAAGUAAUGAUUAAUAGGGAUAGUUGGGGGUAUUCGUAUUCAAUUGUCAGAGGUGAAAUUCUUGGAUUUAUGGAAGACGAACUACUGCGAAAGCAUUUACCAAGGAUGUUUUCAUUAA